CGAGAGCCACCCCUAUAAAUUUCCCAUCUCAUGGAUGACCCUUCUUUUAAUUCGCCCACUUCGCAAGACCAUUAGCGAUAGGAUCCGACUGCCAAAAAAAAGAAAAAAAAAAAAACCCACAAACCCUAGAAAAAACCCCUAAUUUCGUUUUUGCGCCUGUUCGACGAAUUUGGAUCGCGUCAAGGAGUGAUUUUGAAGAGAUUUUCAAUCGUUUCGCUUCGUGAGGGUUCGAUUGGUAUCGUUUUUUGAAAGGUGAAUUGGAGAGGAGAUGGUGGCGGGAGCGGAGAUUAUGCAUCAGAGCAUGCCGGUGCUGGACGUGCAGUACCGGUGCAUCACCAA
RNAcentral lists this long non-coding RNA (339 nucleotides) under Elaeis guineensis (African oil palm). RNAcentral describes it as "long non-coding RNA (EGUI_LNC073523)". Lineage: Eukaryota; Viridiplantae; Streptophyta; Magnoliopsida; Arecales; Arecaceae. The record is from RNAcentral.